Molecule: transfer RNA, 71 nt
Filed under: Solirubrobacterales bacterium
Lineage: Bacteria; Bacillati; Actinomycetota; Thermoleophilia; Solirubrobacterales
Description: tRNA-Gln
Rfam family: tRNA
About the family: Transfer RNA (tRNA) molecules are approximately 80 nucleotides in length.
Source: RNAcentral
UGCGGGGUCGUCUAAUGGCAAGACACCGGCCUCUGGAGCCGGGUAUCGGGGUUCGAGUCCCUGCCCCGCAG